Molecule: unclassified non-coding RNA, 582 nt
Filed under: Ellisomyces anomalus
Lineage: Eukaryota; Fungi; Mucoromycota; Mucoromycetes; Mucorales; Mucoraceae
Description: sequence contains 18S rRNA gene, ITS1, 5.8S rRNA gene, ITS2, 28S rRNA gene
Rfam family: 5.8S ribosomal RNA (bases 219-371)
Source: RNAcentral
GAUCAUUAAAUAAUCAAUAAUUUUGGCCUGUCCAUCAUUAUCUAUUUACUGUGAACUCGUAUUAUUACUUGACGCCUGAGGGAUGUUCCAGUGCUAUAAGGAUAGGCACUGGGAAUGUUAACCGAGUCAUAAUCAAGCUUAGGCUUGGUAUCCUAUUAUUAUUUACCAAAAGAAUUCAGAAUUAAUAUUGUAACAUAGACGUAAAAAAUCUAUAAAACAACUUUUAACAACGGAUCUCUUGGUUCUCGCAUCGAUGAAGAACGUAGCAAAGUGCGAUAACUAGUGUGAAUUGCAUAUUCAGUGAAUCAUCGAGUCUUUGAACGCAACUUGCGCUCAUUGGUAUUCCAAUGAGCACGCCUGUUUCAGUAUCAAAACAAACCCUCUAUCCAGCAUUUGUUGAAUAGGAUGACUGAGAGUCUCCUGAUCUUUUGAUCUCGAACCUCUUGAAAUGUACAAAGGCCUGAUCUUGUUUAAAUGCCUGAACUUUUUUUUAAUAUAAAGAGAAGCUCUUGCGGUAAACUGUGCUGGGGCCUCCCAAAUAACACAUUUUUAAAUUUGAUCUGAAAUCAGGUGGGAUUACCC